UCCCUCUGCUCCAGUCGAAGACGUGUUGCUGUCGCCCUGCUCAACAGUCAUCGAGCUGCAGGAGUUCAACAGGAGAGGAGGAACAAAAUGCAACUUUUUCUGACAACCUUUCAACCAAUGACAUUGUAAAACCGUAUAGCCUGCAGGGCAGAAAGACAAAGGCCUUCCAGGACCUGACAAUCUGCAGGGUUAUAACAG
This is a long non-coding RNA of Perca fluviatilis (European perch), 198 nucleotides long. RefSeq lists it as uncharacterized. Lineage: Eukaryota; Metazoa; Chordata; Actinopteri; Perciformes; Percidae. The transcript is spliced from 2 exons. The record is from RefSeq and is a predicted model, not a curated record.